Hippocampus comes (tiger tail seahorse) is the source of this 504-nucleotide long non-coding RNA. RefSeq lists it as uncharacterized. Lineage: Eukaryota; Metazoa; Chordata; Actinopteri; Syngnathiformes; Syngnathidae. The record is from RefSeq and is a predicted model, not a curated record. The transcript has 2 exons.
AAUGCCCACCGAACAAAUCUGAGGCAUACUUCAGACGCAUGUUUUUUUUUUUUCCCCCUCAAGGAAAUAGUCUAUUAUCAAAAUUCCAAAAAGUGUAGACCGUCCACUGAAUUCCUUCUUUGAUCUCGUCCUUGCAGCUUCACCAUGUGGAAGGGCCGCGUGUACUGUUGCGACCCGCAAGAUACGUGGGUGCAGGAGCUGAUGGCCAACAUCGACAAGAAAGCCGUCAAACACGUCAAGAAAACCGCCCCAAAGCGCCAAAAGAGUCGCUUGAUCAGCUGAGUGAGGCCUCACCCUCCUGGAGAAAAAGGCAAUCGACGUUUUGACUUUCACUGUUGACUUUUUUUUUGCAUUCACUGGACUUUUUAUUGUGACGACGCGUGACCAUGAUGUGACGAAACAGUGUUUACGUGCAAAUGGAAACCAUAAAAUGUGAAUCUGAACUGUGUGUAGCAUGAGCGCUUGCUUAAACAUUGUGACAAUAAAACUGCUUAGCCAUUCAAA